GAGUUUGAUCAUGGCUCAGGACGAACGCUGGCGGCGUGCUUAACACAUGCAAGUCGAACGGAAAGGCCCUUUCGGGGGUGCUCGAGUGGCGAACGGGUGAGUAACGCGUGGGUGAUCUGCCCUGCACUUUGGGAUAAGCCUGGGAAACUGGGUCUAAUACCGGAUAGGACUCCGGGAUGCAUGUCUUGGGGUGGAAAGCUUUUUGCGGUGUGGGAUGGGCCCGCGGCCUAUCAGCUUGUUGGUGGGGUGAUGGCCUACCAAGGCGACGACGGGUAGCCGGCCUGAGAGGGUGUCCGGCCACACUGGGACUGAGAUACGGCCCAGACUCCUACGGGAGGCAGCAGUGGGGAAUAUUGCACAACGGGCGCAAGCCUGAUCCAGCCAUGCCGCGUGUGUGAAGAAGGCC
RNAcentral lists this ribosomal RNA (406 nucleotides) under uncultured Actinomycetes bacterium. Its description in RNAcentral is "bacterial SSU rRNA". It matches the Rfam family "Bacterial small subunit ribosomal RNA", at positions 9 to 416 of the family's 1533-position model. The record is from RNAcentral. Lineage: Bacteria; Bacillati; Actinomycetota; Actinomycetes.